UCUCAUUACUCUCCUCCAUAUCUCUCUACCCUUCUCUGCAGGCAUGGAAGAGCAAUUUAUACUUCGGCUUCCACCUUCGGUAGCUGAACGGAUAGACCGGCUCUUGAGCGAAAACGCAUCUUCGUCUUCUGAUGACAAGUCCUUGGAUUUAACCUUUUCCGAGGAUGGGAGAAGUGGCACAUUUUCAAUAGGAAACGAUCACUUCCCUGCAUUUCUUUUGGAUUUACCUGGCAUUGUGGAGUUAUACAAAACCUAUGAUGAUAGCGUGCUGAUUAAAAGUGCAGAUAUUGGUCAAAUGAUUAUGGUGAAGGAGGAAGGUGACAGUGUUCCAGAUGAGGUGGAGUACAGACAUGGCCUUACCCCUCCGAUGAGGGAUGCUCGAAGGCGAAGGUUCCGCAGAGAACCAGAUCUAAAUCCUGAGCUGGUCCGGCGUGCUGAGAAAGAUUUGCAGAAUAUUAUGGCUGGUGGAACAGCUGAGAAUAUUGAUGUUGAAGCCAUUGAGCAUGAGGAAGAUGGCGAGGAAAAUGCUCGUAAUGUAAGUAAGAAGGUGGAACCUAAGCCUCCAGAGAAGCCUGACAUACCUGAGGCUGGGACAGCUGGUGGAGAGCCAGACAGAAGCGAUUCUGAUGAGUCUGAUUAUUCAAUAUGAUGGAGGUCCUUUAUUUAAACUUGAGUAUCUGGUUCUGCUGGGUGGUUAGACCUACUAUUUGCAAAUUUAACUUUGUAAGGUAUAUGGUACACAAGGUGCAACUCCACAUGUUAAGUGUUGUAUUGAGGUAGUAUCACCAUAUUAUCAAUAGAGUGCCCUGAGUGUAUCCCAUGCCUCUUUUGGAGUCCUAGCAUCUUUGAUCCGGUGUAAUAAAUCAUCUUCCACAGCCAUUGUUAAAGCACACAGAUUUGCUAACUUUAACUUUCCACUUUUAAAGUGGCUCUGCCUUCGUUAGUAGUGAUGUGUCAUCUCCACCAACAACGAGCCACAAAUCUUGUCCAAAUAGGUAGAACUUCAUACGAGUCCUCUAGGAACCAUAGUUGUUGGAAUUGAUAUUUAAUUUAGCAACAUUUCCAACUGAGACAGCAACCUCUGUCAUAGCUAAUUUU
Molecule: RNA transcript, 1098 nt
Organism: Coffea eugenioides
Lineage: Eukaryota; Viridiplantae; Streptophyta; Magnoliopsida; Gentianales; Rubiaceae
Gene name: transcription initiation factor TFIID subunit 7-like
Exons: 8
Source: RefSeq, a predicted model, not a curated record